GGGUUGUGAGGUUAAGCGACUAAGCGUACACGGUGGAUGCCCUGGCAGUCAGAGGCGAUGAAGGGCGUGCUAAUCUGCGAUAAGCGCCGGUAAGGUGAUAUGAACCGUUAUAACCGGCGAUACCCGAAUGGGGAAACCCAGUGUGAUUCGUCACACUAUCAUUAACUGAAUCCAUAGGUUAAUGAGGCGAACCGGGGGAACUGAAACAUCUAAGUACCCCGAGGAAAAGAAAUCAACCGAGAUUCCCCCAGUAGCGGCGAGCGAACGGGGAGGAGCCCAGAGCCUGAAUCAGCAUGUGUGUUAGUGGAAGCGUCUGGAAAGGCGCGCGAUACAGGGUGACAGCCCCGUACACAAAAGCGCAUGUGCUGUGAGCUCGAUGAGUAGGGCGGGACACGUGGUAUCCUGUCUGAAUAUGGGGGGACCAUCCUCCAAGGCUAAAUACUCCUGACUGACCGAUAGUGAACCAGUACCGUGAGGGAAAGGCGAAAAGAACCCCGGCGAGGGGAGUGAAAAAGAACCUGAAACCGUGUACGUACAAGCAGUGGGAGCACCCUUCGGGGUGUGACUGCGUACCUUUUGUAUAAUGGGUCAGCGACUUAUAUUCUGUAGCAAGGUUAACCGUAUAGGGGAGCCGGAGGGAAACCGAGUCUUAACCGGGCGUUAAGUUGCAGGGUAUAGACCCGAAACCCGGUGAUCUAGCCAUGGGCAGGUUGAAGGUUGGGUAACACUAACUGGAGGACCGAACCGACUAAUGUUGAAAAAUUAGCGGAUGACCUGUGGCUGGGGGUGAAAGGCCAAUCAAACCGGGAGAUAGCUGGUUCUCCCCGAAAGCUAUUUAGGUAGCGCCUCGUGAAUUCAUCUCCGGGGGUAGAGCACUGUUUCGGCUAGGGGGCCAUCCCGGCUUACCAACCCGAUGCAAACUGCGAAUACCGGAGAAUGUUAUCACGGGAGACACACGGCGGGUGCUAACGUCCGUCGUGAAGAGGGAAACAACCCAGACCGCCAGCUAAGGUCCCAAAGUCAUGGUUAAGUGGGAAACGAUGUGGGAAGGCCCAGACAGCCAGGAUGUUGGCUUAGAAGCAGCCAUCAUUUAAAGAAAGCGUAAUAGCUCACUGGUCGAGUCGGCCUGCGCGGAAGAUGUAACGGGGCUAAACCAUGCACCGAAGCUGCGGCAGCGAACGUAUCACCCAAGACAACUUUACGGAGUUGACGAUUGACGGAGCGAAGCGACGUCAAAGCGUUCAUUAAAGUCGAGUUGGCUUAGGGAUACGUUCGUUGGGUAGGGGAGCGUUCUGUAAGCCUGUGAAGGUGUGUCGUGAGGCAUGCUGGAGGUAUCAGAAGUGCGAAUGCUGACAUAAGUAACGAUAAAGCGGGUGAAAAGCCCGCUCGCCGGAAGACCAAGGGUUCCUGUCCAACGUUAAUCGGGGCAGGGUGAGUCGACCCCUAAGGCGAGGCCGAAAGGCGUAGUCGAUGGGAAACGGGUUAAUAUUCCCGUACUUGGUGUUACUGCGAAGGGGGGACGGAGAAGGCUAUGUUGGCCGGGCGACGGUUGUCCCGGUUUAAGCGUGUAGGUGUGUGUUCCAGGUAAAUCCGGUUCACUUUAACACUGAGGCGUGACGACGAGGCACUACGGUGCUGAAGCAACAAAUGCCCUGCUUCCAGGAAAAGCCUCUAAGCAUCAGGUAACACGAAAUCGUACCCCAAACCGACACAGGUGGUCAGGUAGAGAAUACCAAGGCGCUUGAGAGAACUCGGGUGAAGGAACUAGGCAAAAUGGUGCCGUAACUUCGGGAGAAGGCACGCUGACACGUAGGUGAAGUGAUUUACUCAUGGAGCUGAAGUCAGUCGAAGAUACCAGCUGGCUGCAACUGUUUAUUAAAAACACAGCACUGUGCAAACACGAAAGUGGACGUAUACGGUGUGACGCCUGCCCGGUGCCGGAAGGUUAAUUGAUGGGGUCAGCGUAAGCGAAGCUCCUGAUCGAAGCCCCGGUAAACGGCGGCCGUAACUAUAACGGUCCUAAGGUAGCGAAAUUCCUUGUCGGGUAAGUUCCGACCUGCACGAAUGGCGUAAUGAUGGCCAGGCUGUCUCCACCCGAGACUCAGUGAAAUUGAACUCGCUGUGAAGAUGCAGUGUACCCGCGGCAAGACGGAAAGACCCCGUGAACCUUUACUAUAGCUUGACACUGAACAUUGAGCCUUGAUGUGUAGGAUAGGUGGGAGGCUUUGAAGUGUGGACGCCAGUCUGCAUGGAGCCGACCUUGAAAUACCACCCUUUAAUGUUUGAUGUUCUAACGUGGACCCGUAAUCCGGGUUGCGGACAGUGUCUGGUGGGUAGUUUGACUGGGGCGGUCUCCUCCUAAAGAGUAACGGAGGAGCACGAAGGUUGGCUAAUCCUGGUCGGACAUCAGGAGGUUAGUGCAAUGGCAUAAGCCAGCUUGACUGCGAGCGUGACGGCGCGAGCAGGUGCGAAAGCAGGUCAUAGUGAUCCGGUGGUUCUGAAUGGAAGGGCCAUCGCUCAACGGAUAAAAGGUACUCCGGGGAUAACAGGCUGAUACCGCCCAAGAGUUCAUAUCGACGGCGGUGUUUGGCACCUCGAUGUCGGCUCAUCACAUCCUGGGGCUGAAGUAGGUCCCAAGGGUAUGGCUGUUCGCCAUUUAAAGUGGUACGCGAGCUGGGUUUAGAACGUCGUGAGACAGUUCGGUCCCUAUCUGCCGUGGGCGCUGGAGAACUGAGGGGGGCUGCUCCUAGUACGAGAGGACCGGAGUGGACGCAUCACUGGUGUUCGGGUUGUCAUGCCAAUGGCACUGCCCGGUAGCUAAAUGCGGAAGAGAUAAGUGCUGAAAGCAUCUAAGCACGAAACUUGCCCCGAGAUGAGUUCUCCCUGAGACUUAGAGUCUCCUGAAGGAACGUUGAAGACGACGACGUUGAUAGGCCGGGUGUGUAAGCGCAGCGAUGCGUUGAGCUAACCGGUACUAAUGAACCGUGAGGCUUAACCUUACAACGCCGAAG
This 3011-nucleotide ribosomal RNA is filed under the name Salmonella enterica subsp. enterica serovar Typhimurium. RNAcentral's name for it is "23S ribosomal RNA". It matches the Rfam family "Bacterial large subunit ribosomal RNA". The record is from RNAcentral. Lineage: Bacteria; Pseudomonadati; Pseudomonadota; Gammaproteobacteria; Enterobacterales; Enterobacteriaceae. RNAcentral also lists the same sequence under 2 other names.